Molecule: ribosomal RNA, 253 nt
Filed under: uncultured bacterium
Lineage: Bacteria
Description: partial 16S ribosomal RNA
Rfam family: Bacterial small subunit ribosomal RNA
Source: RNAcentral
UACGUAGGGGGCAAGCGUUGUCCAGAUUUAUUGGGCGUAAAGAGCGUGUAGGCGGCCAGACAGGUCCGUUGUGAAAACUCGAGGCUCAACCUCGAGACGCCGAUGGAAACCGUUUGGCUAGAGUCCGGAAGAGGAGAGUGGAAUUCCUGGUGUAGCGGUGAAAUGCGCAGAUAUCAGGAAGAACACCCGUGGCUAAGGCGGCUCCCUAGUACGGUACUGACGCUGAGACGCGAAAGCGUGGGGAGCGAACAGG